AGAGUGGAGGUUGGUGUCACUGUAGAUGACACAGUGGGGGUUGGUGUCACUGACGAUAAAAAAGUGGAGGUUGGUGUCACUGUUGAAGACACAGUGGUGCUAGGCGUCACUGUAGAUGACACAGUGGGGGUUGAUGUCACUGUAGAUGACAAAG
Strongylocentrotus purpuratus (purple sea urchin) is the source of this 154-nucleotide long non-coding RNA. RefSeq lists it as uncharacterized. The record is from RefSeq and is a predicted model, not a curated record. NCBI's taxonomy places the organism in Eukaryota, Metazoa, Echinodermata, Echinoidea, Camarodonta, Strongylocentrotidae. The transcript is spliced from 3 exons.